CCUACGGGCGGCACCAGUGAGGAAUAUUGGUCAAUGGACGAGAGUCUGAACCAGCCACGUAGCGUGAAGGAUGACUGCCCUAUGGGUUGUAAACUUCUUUUAUAUGGGAAUAAAAUGUUCCACGUGUGGGUUUUUGUAUGUACCAUAUGAAUAAGGAUCGGCUAACUCAGUGCCAGCAGCCGCGGUAAUACGGAGGAUCCGAGCGUUAUCCGGAUUUAUUGGGUGUAAAGGGAGCGUAGGUGGAUUGUUAAGUCAGUUGUGAAAGUUUGCGGCUCAACCGUAAAAUUGCAGUUGAAACUGGCAGUCUGGAGUACAGUAGAGGUGGGCGGAAUUCGUGGUGUAGCGGUGAAAUGCUUAGAUAUCACGAAGAACUCCGAUGGCGAAGGCAGUUCACUGGACUGCAACUGACACUGAGGCUCGAAAGUGUGGGGAUCAAACAGGAUUAGAUACCCUGGUAGUC
Molecule: ribosomal RNA, 460 nt
Filed under: uncultured bacterium
Lineage: Bacteria
Description: partial 16S ribosomal RNA
Rfam family: Bacterial small subunit ribosomal RNA
Source: RNAcentral